Molecule: long non-coding RNA, 826 nt
Filed under: Ananas comosus (pineapple)
Lineage: Eukaryota; Viridiplantae; Streptophyta; Magnoliopsida; Poales; Bromeliaceae
Description: long non-coding RNA (ACOM_LNC035498)
Source: RNAcentral
AGGCGCAAAAUAUUUUUGUCCUCAAAUUUAAAUUUAUGGUAAUUUUUUUUACUUAAAUUUUAGAGAUCAUUGCAAUCAAGUUCCACAAUCUAAUUUAGUUGGCUAAAUAUUAAUAAAUUUGUUAAUAUAGAAGUGAUGUAAAAAUAUUAUGAUUAAUAAUAUGACAAUAAUUAAGAUGUCGCAUUAUUUCUAUAUCAACAAUUUAUCAAUAUUUAGUUCACUAAAUUGGAUUGUAGGAUUUGAUUACAACAAUUCAAAAAAAAAAAAUGAGUGAAGUUGCAACAUGUUAAAUUUUGACGACUAAAGAAUUACUCGCCUCAUAGUUUGAGGACAAAAGUGUAUUUAAUCUUUAAAAAUUGGAGAUAUGUACUUAUACCUAAAAUAAAAUGAGCAGGAAAAAAAAAAAAACUCUACACACUCAACUUCAGGGUGGAUCCGUGUUUGGAUACUUAAGUUACUAACGUACCCAUCAGCUCUGUUUGAGCAGAUCUAGAUAAUGACUAUCUGUGAACGACCUGCUUAAAUAUCCGGUAUGAAUCUGGUCUUAAUCGAGUAUAUAUUAGGUACAGAUAUCCGUAUGCAUAUUUAUGAUAUAAAACACUAAUAUUUAUUACAUCAUAAGUUCAAAAUAAAAAUACAAAAUUUGCAGUAGUUAUACAUGUAUUAAUUUCUCUAAAAUACAUAAAACCACCAUCUAAACACAUACAACAAUAUAAUAAAUAAAAAAAUUAUAUUAAUAAGUUCAAACACAUAUAAUACAAUUACAUAAAACACAUACAACUAAUCAGAUAAUGCACACCAUAAAUCUAAAAUACAUGCACCUACU